CCCUUAGAUGUUCUGGGCCGCACGCGCGCUACACUGAUGCAUUCAACGAGCCUAGCCUUGACCGAGAGGUCCGGGUAAUCUUUGAAACUGCAUCGUGAUGGGGCUAGAUUAUUGCAAUUAUUAAUCUUCAACGAGGAAUGCCUAGUAAGCGUGAUUCAUCAAAUCGCGUUGAUUACGUCCCUGCCCUUUGUACACACCGCCCGUCGCUCCUACCGAUUGAGUGUGUUGGUGAGGAGUUCGGUUUGGCUCUUAGUGGUGGUUCGCCACCACCUAGAGCUGAGAAGUUCUCCAAACCGCCCCACUUAGAGGAAGGAGAAGUCGUAACA
This 326-nucleotide ribosomal RNA is filed under the name uncultured eukaryote. RNAcentral describes it as "partial 18S ribosomal RNA". It matches the Rfam family "Eukaryotic small subunit ribosomal RNA", at positions 1470 to 1796 of the family's 1831-position model. The record is from RNAcentral.